RNAcentral lists this ribosomal RNA (253 nucleotides) under uncultured bacterium. RNAcentral describes it as "partial 16S ribosomal RNA". It matches the Rfam family "Bacterial small subunit ribosomal RNA", at positions 524 to 776 of the family's 1533-position model. The record is from RNAcentral.
UACGUAGGGUGCAAGCGUUGUCCGGAAUUAUUGGGCGUAAAGAGCUCGUAGGUGGCCUGUCACGUCGGCUGUGAAAACCCGGGGCUCAACCCCGGGCCUGCAGUCGAUACGGGCAGGCUAGAGUUCGGCAGGGGAGACUGGAAUUCCUGGUGUAGCGGUGAAAUGCGCAGAUAUCAGGAGGAACACCGGUGGCGAAGGCGGGUCUCUGGGCCGACACUGACGCUGAGGAGCGAAAGCGUGGGGAGCGAACAGG